This 254-nucleotide ribosomal RNA is filed under the name uncultured bacterium. Its description in RNAcentral is "partial 16S ribosomal RNA". It matches the Rfam family "Bacterial small subunit ribosomal RNA", at positions 526 to 779 of the family's 1533-position model. The record is from RNAcentral.
CGUAGGGCGCGAGCGUUGUCCGGAAUUAUUGGGCGUAAAGGGCUUGUAGGCGGCUUGUUGCGCCUGCUGUGAAAACGCGGGGCUUAACUUCGCGCGUGCAGUGGGUACGGGCAGGCUUGAGUGUGGUAGGGGUGACUGGAAUUCCAGGUGUAGCGGUGGAAUGCGCAGAUAUCUGGAGGAACACCGAUGGCGAAGGCAGGUCACUGGGCCAUUACUGACGCUGAGGAGCGAAAGCAUGGGUAGCGAACAGGAUU